Molecule: ribosomal RNA, 491 nt
Filed under: uncultured bacterium
Lineage: Bacteria
Description: bacterial SSU rRNA
Rfam family: Bacterial small subunit ribosomal RNA
Source: RNAcentral
AUUGAACGCUGGCGGCAUGCCUAACACAUGCAAGUCGAACGGGGGCAGCAAUGCCCUAGUGGCGGACGGGUGAGGAAUACGUAGGAACCGGCCCACGAGUGGGGGACAACCUGGGGAAACCCAGGCUAAUACCGCAUACGCUCGCGAGAGGAAAGCGGGGGACCUUCGGGCCUCGCGCUGGUGGACGGGCCUACGUCCGAUUAGCUUGUUGGUGGGGUAAAAGCCUACCAAGGCGACGAUCGGUAGCUGGUCUGAGAGGAUGAUCAGCCACACUGGGACUGAGACACGGCCCAGACUCCUACGGGAGGCAGCAGUGGGGAAUAUUGGACAAUGGGCGCAAGCCUGAUCCAGCAAUGCCGCGUGGGUGAAGAAGGCCUGCGGGUUGUAAAGCCCUUUAAGCGGGGAGGAAAGCCGGGGGGUGAAUAGCGCCUCGGGGUGACGUUACCCGCAGAAUAAGCACCGGCUAACUCCGUGCCAGCAGCCGCGGUAAU